UGUAUGCGUGAGUGUAAGUCACUUUAGAUAACAGUGUCUGCUAAAUGACAUAUA
Molecule: non-coding RNA, 54 nt
Organism: Salmo salar (Atlantic salmon)
Lineage: Eukaryota; Metazoa; Chordata; Actinopteri; Salmoniformes; Salmonidae
Source: Rfam